RNAcentral lists this long non-coding RNA (923 nucleotides) under Monodelphis domestica (gray short-tailed opossum). Its description in RNAcentral is "lncRNA (ENSMODG00000051486.1)". The record is from RNAcentral. Lineage: Eukaryota; Metazoa; Chordata; Mammalia; Didelphimorphia; Didelphidae.
GUCAAGGGGUACUAACCUACAAAUGGCUUUAUUCACAUUAAUCAUGUCUAUCACAGAGUGUUGUAGAAACCUAGUAAAUGAUCACAGAAUUCUUUGUUGUAGUAACAUCACAAGAGAGUUGUUUAGGUGAUUUGAUAAUAUCCAAUCAAAUUGUAGCAUGUCACAUAUGUAGAGAAUUGAUUGUGUGUAUGUAUCUGAAAACCUAUAUAAUAAACAAACCAUGAUACUAUGACAGAGCACUGUGUGAUGCCUGCAUAUGUGGGUUGAAUGCACGGUGUUUCUCAUCUCCUUAUUCUGACCAUGACAUCACAUCUGGGCAGAGGGACCUUGAAUCCUCAGAGGGGCUACUGGACGGACCCCCGUAAAGAGGGAAAUAGGAAGGGAGGUGAUGGAAAUCUUUCCCCCCAACACUUCCCAAUUGAAGGGGCUUCUGAAGAGAAACCUGAGCAGACUUUGUUUCAGCUCCUGUUGCCCAGGGAGUUAGAGUUUGUCUGGUCUCCCAGGGUGGACCUGGUGAACUAGCUGUUCUCUCUCCUGUGGCUUUCCUUGGGAUCCAUCUUACCAACUACCUGUUCCUGUGUAUCUUGUUGAUGCUGACUGAGAGAUAUUCCUACACAGCUGCUUGAGACACCUAAAGCCAUCUGUCAGGAGACCUUCCCUUUGAGCCCUGUUCCUGCUUACCUUCCAACCUUACUACCUCUAGUACCAUCUAAGGGGGGGGGGGGGGUUGGGUUAGUGAAGUGUAUUUUAUUAUAGGAACUGGGGCUCUUAGGUAGAGAGGUGAUGGGCAGUGCAGAUGCCACCUCUCCGAAGCUACCAACUAGAUUUGGUGGGAGGUUUAUUUAUAUUCUUUAGAUAGAUCAUCCCAAGUCCCUUCCCUUAUCUUAAAUAAACCGUUUAAUAGAAUUUGGUUUCCUGUAAGC